RNAcentral lists this transfer-messenger RNA (362 nucleotides) under Planctomycetaceae bacterium. It matches the Rfam family "transfer-messenger RNA". Rfam says of the family: Bacterial tmRNA, also known as 10Sa RNA or SsrA, is named for its dual tRNA and mRNA-like properties. Its role is to liberate the mRNA from a stalled ribosome. Lineage: Bacteria; Pseudomonadati; Planctomycetota; Planctomycetia; Planctomycetales; Planctomycetaceae. The record is from RNAcentral.
GGGGGCGAUUUGGAUUCGACCGGAUGUUGGGAAGUGAGAGUGGCGUGUCGUGGUUGGUCAGCGGGCCACGUAAAAAGCUGACCGAAAACUUUACGUGCCGAGAGUGAUCUCGCACUCGCUGCCUAAGAAAAGGUAGCGGCGGCCGCCGGUUCUGGUCGGGGGAAUCGGAUGGCCGCUCGCCCACCCGACUCGCCGUCUGCCAUGUCGAGUACGCAGGCGGUUAAAACUCGUUCUCGGCUGGUUGCUGGCGGACCGUGUCGGUUCGGGCCGUCGGCAACGAGACUUCAAAGAACCGACUACACACGUAGAAGCUCUCACGGACACAUCGCGGGACGGGGGUUCGAUUCCCCCCGCCUCCAUUG